This 225-nucleotide unclassified non-coding RNA is filed under the name plant metagenome. RNAcentral's name for it is "partial contains small subunit ribosomal RNA, internal transcribed spacer 1, and 5.8S ribosomal RNA". The record is from RNAcentral.
UCUCCGUUGGUGAACCAGCGGAGGGAUCAUUACAGGACUCGCAAGACUCCUACAGCCCUGUGAACUUAACUAUAAGCACGUUGCUUCGGCGGGUGUCUCGGAGGGGGUUCUCCCUCCCCGAGACGCUAAACCCGCCGGCAGCCUACUAUACUCUGUCUCUUUGCGUUGGCAUCUCGAGUACAAUCAAACAAGUUAAAACUUUCAACAACGGAUCUCUUGGUUCUG